UAACUCCGCCCGGCGACCGGCGCACGGUGCGUAACGCGUAUGCAACCUACCUUUAACAGGGGGAUAACACUGAGAAAUUGGUACUAAUUCCCCAUAACAUUCGAGAAGGCAUCUUCUUGGGUUAAAAACUCCGGUGGUUAAAGAUGGGCAUGCGUUGUAUUAGCUAGUUGGUGAGGUAACGGCUCACCAAGGCAACGAUACAUAGGGGGACUGAGAGGUUAACCCCCCACAUUGGUACUGAGACACGGCCAA
Molecule: ribosomal RNA, 252 nt
Filed under: uncultured bacterium
Lineage: Bacteria
Description: partial 16S ribosomal RNA
Rfam family: Bacterial small subunit ribosomal RNA
Source: RNAcentral